This is a long non-coding RNA of Bacillus rossius redtenbacheri, 7255 nucleotides long. RefSeq lists it as uncharacterized. The transcript has 3 exons. The record is from RefSeq and is a predicted model, not a curated record. NCBI's taxonomy places the organism in Eukaryota, Metazoa, Arthropoda, Insecta, Phasmatodea, Bacillidae.
ACUUUACAGUUUACAUGAAAAAUGAAGAGUGCACGAGUAGCCAAAGAUUUGAAAUCGGCAGUACUGCAAAAAAUUAAAGAGAACAAGGUUACCUUGUAUGGACAGUUUAGUGAUACUUUGACAAAAAAGGAUAAAAGUGAUGCGUGGAAGCAAAUAUUUGAUUUUGCGGUUAGUAUUGGAGCAGUAAAAAAAAAAAAAAAAAGGUUUGGGAAUAUUUGAGAGAGACAUUUUGCCCAAAUUUGAGACGAGCAACUAUGGUGAGUUACAGUAAAUUCUUGCCAUAUGUUUUUAUUGAACUGAAAACUGAACAGAUUUAAAUUACUAUUAUUUGUUCAAAAUAUUUUAUUUCCAGAACAAAGUAGAUAAUGCGAACCAAACUGGGGCAGCAGGUGGAACACAUGCCAAGUAGAAUGACAUUGACAACUUUGUUCUUGACAUAAUUGGGAAAGACUCGCCAACUAUAACAAGUUUGGAUGUACCUGAAACAUGGAGCAAUGCAUCCACAAAUUUAUCAGAGGAAAAAUGUUUCACUGCUCAAGGUGAUGAACAGUGUGACGAUGAUUGUCAUACUUCUAUAACACAAAUCUCUAAAAAACGGAAAAAUGCAUCUUUGCAGCCCACUACAAACAUGAACGAGAAGUAUGAACUGCAAGUUCAGAACAUGGAAAUUGUUAAAUGAAAAACUGAAAGUGGAGACAUACAAGUUACAUCUGGAGACACUAAAACUUAUAAAAGAACUUGGUUUUCCUCCAAAUUACACAUUGUGCGAAGUGCAAAAUGAAACUGAUGAAAUUGAUCUAUUCGAAAAUACAGUUAUAACUAAUGUGAACACUGUUGAUGAAAAUGUGUGAUACAGGGUUGGGUAAUGACGUGUAGAAUAUUAAUAUUCUACAUACGUGUAGAAAAUAGUGUAGAAAAUGUAUAAUAUGUAGAAUAUACGCAGAAUACAUAUGUAGAAUAUUCAGAAAUAAAUGUAAAUCUACCUUUCAGGUAGUUGGAAUAUUCUUUAAGGUUAUUCCCAGUAUCUGACUUCUAAAUCAUUAAUAAUGGUGCCCUAGAACUGUCAAUCUGCCAUUUCCAGAUCUGUUAAAAAUGGUUUUGUUUUCGCAAUUGGGCCUAGUAAGACACUCAUUGUCCACUUAAUCUUUGUGCUCCUCUAAGCAGCCUAGACAACCCUGAGCAGUGCAAGUGUUUCUGCAGCUAAAAGUAUUCAUAAAAUACAUAGUAAAAGACGUUGUUACGUAGGACAUACCUUCAAAGGAGUGUAUCAGGCUGUCAGGAUUAUUGCACAGAAUAAACAACACAAAAAUGUAUGUAACAAUUUAUUUUUUUUGGAACUCUCUAGUCCAGGGGUUCCCAAAGUGUGCGCCACGGCGCCCUGGUGCGCCGUAGAAAGUUAAGAAGGGCGCCGUGAAGCGAUUAUCUUCACCAUUCUCCGAAACCUCAACUUAAGUGUUCGCGGGUACAAAAUAAACAAUUUAAUUUCUAGCGCUCGCGUAGUGCUUCGCUUACUUGCGCACUCGCCGAUACUUAUCUACGACAAGCCCGAGACAACUGUGGUCCCGGUAAAAAUGUGAACUACCCAAGGACAGACGGACCCUUACCUCUCCCUAGUCAGACUGAAGGGUCGGAACGCAUGUCGCGGGUGGGACGACAAGUAGAGCUGUUACCAUAAGUCACGACACAGUGCGCGGACACGGGCGUAUCGGUGUUCAAGUAUUUAACAAAUCCUUUGAAAGCGGAGCAAGGUUUCGAAGCGUGCGUGACAUUAUAUAACAUGUAUGGACAACAAAUCACAAAACUAUAUAUAGCCAGUGCAGGGAAGUGAUUAGCAUUUGUAACAUGUCAGGAGUUAAAGAACUAAGUGGCUGAAUGGGAGUUUGUUACAUGCACUUAGCAAAAAACUGUGUUGAAACGUUCAAUAGACGUAAACAAUGAAGAAAGACCGUAGUGUGUCGCAGUGUGUGCUCUGUUUGAAAAUUUUAUCAACCGAAAGUAUGCUUCCAAGUAAGUUAAAGCGACAUCUUGAAACCAUUCACCCAGCUAUGGUUGAAAAAUAGCGUGAUUUUUUUUAAAUAAGAAAUUACAAAAUUUAAAAAAAAAACACAAAAUGUGUUUCCUCAAAAAGGCUCAAUACAUAACAAAGCACCGUUAGCAUCCUUCAAGGUGGCAUACAGAGUGGCGAAAUUAAAAAAACCUUAUACUAUUGCAGAAGAUCUUGUUCUAUCGGCUGCUCUCGACAUGGUGAAUAUUAUGUUGGGAAAAUCGGCGGGAAAAAUAAUUUCUAAGGUACCCUUAUCUAACAACACUAUUAGUCGAAGAAUCUAUGACAUAGCUGAGGAUAUAAAUAGACCAUUAAUAGAAAAAAUGAAAGGCAAGGAGUUUGGUCUACAACUUGACGAGGCUAGUGACAGUAUUAAUGAUGCACAUCUGAUAUUUUACGUACGCUUUGUGGCUGACAAUAUUAUUGUCGAAGAACUCUUAUUCUGUAAAAACAUUACCGAAAGUGCAAAGGCUCAUGACUUGUUUGAAAUUCUUGACAAGUUUAUUAUAGAAAAUGAUUUGAAUUGGGGAAAAUGUAUUUGUGUAUGUACAGAUGGUGCUCGAUCAAGGUCUGGCAGGUACGGAGGAUUACAAGCGCUUAUUUGUAAAAAAGCCUCGCAUGAUGUGUGGACCCAUUGCAUCAUCCAUGGAGAAGCACUUGCGUCAAAGUCUAUGAGUUCUGAAUUAAACCAAGUAUUAGAACAUGUCAUUGGCACUCUAAAUUACAUUAAAACUAGACCCCUAAAAGUCAGACUUUUAAAAAAAAACUAUGCAUAGAUAUGGGAGCUGAACAUACAGCACUGAUAUAUUACUGCAAUUCACGAUGGCUUUCCUGUGGAAAUGUCUUAAUUCGUUUGUUAGAAUUUCAUGAAGAAAUUCACAGUUUUUUACAACAAGAGCAUCAUGCAAACUCCAGAUACUUUGCUGAACCAGAUUUUUUGCUAAAACUAGCAUAUUUGUGCGACAUAUUUGAAAAACUUAACAAACUGAAUCUGUCUUUGCAAGGCAACAACAUGCACAUUCUAAAACUACUGGAGAAGAUCGCUGCGUUUAAGAAAAAACUGCAGUUUUGGAUUAAAAAAAUGAAUGAAAAUCGCGGUCAAGAUUGUUUCCCGCAGUUGUAUGAAUAUGCGACAUCAAAUGAGCUUGUUGUCUCACAAGACCUGAUGACCCUUUUCACGGAACACCUUUCGAAGCUCAUUGAAUGGUUUUCAAAAUACUUUGCCGAAGACGAUGUCGAUAAAUAUGCAUGGAUCCAAGACCUAUUCCAUGCACAAGCUCCGCCAGAAUUUACAUCGGAAGAAGAAGAAAGUCUCAUUGAACUCUCUUGCGACAGCAGCCUUAGAACUAGAUUCACAUGUUCAGAUUUGGUGGAGUUUUGGAUAUCGGUUCAAAAUAAAUAUCCCACUUUAGCUUCAAAAGCUAUAAGAAUUUUCAUUCCUUUUGCAACAUUUUAUUUGUGCGAAGCUGGAUUUUCAGCUGUAGCUAUAAUCAAGAGCAAAUAUCGCUCAAAGAUCAAUGUGGAGCAAGAAAUGCGAGUAGCAGUGUCAAACCUUAUUCCACGUUUUGAAAAAAUGUGUGAUGAUCACCAAGUUUACACAUCACAUUGACUAGCUAGGUAGCUUUUUUUAUUUUUGUUGUACUUAAGUCUCUCUUGAAUGUUUUUGUGUUAAUUUUAUAUUCUUAUAAAUAUAAAUAUACAGUUCAGAUUCAUAAUGUGGAUAUUUUAAUUUUUGUGCUUAUGUACCUAAUUAGUAUCAUUGUACCUAUCUAUUUCGACAAGCCAAAUAGGUAAGGGCGCCGAGACAAAAUAUUAAACAUAUAUGUGCGCCGCGGACUGAAAAAGAUUGGGAAACCCUGCUCUAGUCAAUCAGACUAACCAAGUAAAAGUUUUAAUUGCCAAUCCUUAUUAGUAUUAUUAUUAUUAAUUAUAUUUUUUCCAACACAAAGUUAGACUUCAGUAUAAGUUAAAUAAAUUCUGUUCAGUUGGUUUGGUACUACUGCCAACAUACUUUUGCUUUUUUUUUCCACCAACACAAAAACAGUAAAUACAAGAUGGCAGGUAGACCUAAACAUAGUUUAUGGAGUCAGCAAAAAUUUAAGUAUGCCAAAGAAAAUAAUAAGAGUGUGGCACUGUGCACUGUUUGUGAAAAGACACUGAAGAACACUGCAGUGAAAAGGCUUGAAUCACAUAGACGAAAGUGGCUGUUCCGUGGUGUCUGAGGCAGGCUCAGAGCUUGACGUGCGUGCCCGCGAACCCCUUGGCUCCCAGCCCUGUGACUCGGAACGUGGAGCCGCUGAUUGGGUACUUCCUCUUGUCGUCCUCGGAGAGGGCGAGCACGCCGGUGGUGACGUACAGCUCGUCCAGCUGGGGGCCUCCGAACGCGGGGCACGUCACUUGCGGGCACGGGAAGUCCACCGCAGACACCAGCUUGCCCGCGGUCGGGUCCACUCUGAUCACCUGCAAGCGCGCGUCGUUCAGGCGAACCAACCGCAACUGAUCAGUAGCACUGCAUCAGUUAUGCUUUAGCACACAUGAGCAGCUUUCUUCAGCAAAAGUGGGAAUUGGAUAUUAUACAUAAAAUUUAAAUACUAACUAAAAAAUUACAUCAAGUAACUAUAACUAAAUCUGGGCAAAAAUUAAUUUAUGUGCGUGAAAAAUAUAAAUUUGUUUUGCCAUUGAAAAUAUUUUUAAAUUGUUUACAAUGUACAAAAAAAUAAAGUUAACAUUAUAAACAUUAAUUAUUGGGGUAGCUAUUUAACAAGUCCUAGUGUACUAUUCUCUGGCUGGGUACGCUACUAAAGCUCACUUUAACAGGUCUGCCUAGUCAGGGGUGUAUGUGCGCUAGUGAGGCGGGAUUAUAAGCGUGACGCUCGCUGGUGUUACUAGCGUGGUAUCGUUUCUAAGCGCAAGGCUCUAAACUGGUGUGCAGUCUUCUCAUUAUUGCAUAGGGAAACUAUGAGAUUUGAGUGGCAACAAUAACAAUAUAUGGUUGAGAAAUGAAGAUACAGGAUAAUACAAGUCCCUUGGGUACUUUCAAGAAUCUGUACCGGACAUUUCAUACCUAAAACUUAUACUGAAAACAUGUGCUUUAGCCAUUUUCAUGCUUAUAAAUAUUUAGUUUUGAAACCAAAAUAUGUAAACAGAUAUGUCAUCAGCAUAUUCUUAAUUGCUUUCCAUAAACAGAAAUCACUGGGCUAUCUUAAGUAAGUUUUUUUUCUUAAGCUCUGUGUACACAAAGAUGUUGAACUACUUGCUCACUAUAAGGCUAAAAAAUGUAAAGUUGUUCUUUAAAUCUUUUACUUAUUUGGAACCCAUUGGAAAUAACACAACUCUCUGUGACAAGAAUAGCUUCUUAAAAUUGCAUGGAUGUGAUACAUACUUGUUAUAGUGAAAAUAGACAAAAAUAAUACAAAAUCCUGUGCAUAUCAGUAUGAUGUCGAUCUGGGGCUGCACUCUCCCUUAACAGCCUAGUGUAGAUUGACAACCCUCUUUCUCUCCCCUUACCACUUGAGGGUGAACCAUGUGCACAGGCCAAAAGAAUGGUCAUGGCAGGACAGUACAUCGUAUUCAUUAAGGGUUUCAGAAAAAACCACACAUUUUAAAAACAGCUUGAAGAUAUCUGAGUAGUGUGUGUUUACAAAAAGCUUUCAAGGAUAUGCUUCUGGGGACAGAUAGUAGAUUUGUUUCAUAUUUUGUUUUUAAACUAAAUUUUUUGAAGAGUGUAAAUGGCUAAAACAUAUGUUUUCAGGAUAAUUUGUAUGCAUGAAACCCAUGGUAGAAAUUAUAGAAAUUCUCACAUUACCUGCUGUACACAUUUAUUCUCAUUUCUCUGCCAAAUACUAUUAUGGUUACCCCUGAAAUCUCAUAUUUGUCAUAAGCACAACAAGACCAAAGCCUUGCGUUUAGAGGCAACACCGCUAAAAGCACUUGCAAGCCUACCACUUAUUAUGCCCCCCCCUCAUUAAAACAACUACACAUCUAACUAAGCACGUGCCUUAUUGACAUAAAAAAUAAUAAUUAUAAUAUUGUCUUCUCAUUCCCCAAGAAAUUUUCUUCCAGCAGACUCAAUGAAUCUUAAAACUGUAAGUAUGUAGAAACAAACCUGUUACACUUCCUUAAGUGGUUGAGGGCUUCUAAGACAUUAGUAUUUUAUCCACGUAAGUAUUAGUUUCUAUUGUCCAUUUUAAAGUAAAUUAAUUUGGUGACCCUAACUAAGUAAUUAUUUUUUCUAAAACCUGCAGCGCAUCCUUCAAAGAGUACCUAACUGUCUUAUUGUGUGGCGUGAUCAUGCCAAUCCAACACCUUCCAGCGCUGCCACCUUCCCAGUUUUCACUUACAACGACCAGUUCAGUUUGCAAGUCAGCCUUUAUUCAAGACAAAAGAUGUAUAGACUGUCCAGCCACAUGAGUGGACCAGACCUCUAGGUAAGCCAAUAAUUGUGGGUUGUAGGAACUUUUAUUGUUUAAUGUGUAAUUAGGGGAACUGUGUAACUGUGAUGAGUGAAAUGAAGUCUGUGUUUCGGAAGUUAUGUCCCUGUGACUGACCAUUAAUUAGCAUGUGUCUGGGUCGACGCAUGUGAGACAUCAUAAAGUCCAAGAUAAUUUAGUUCUACGGCAUGCCCGAUCCUCAAGAGUAGGCCGGGUCUUUGGAAAAGUGAAGAUAAGGGUAACCACGUAUUGCUCCCACGAGACACAUCAUAGGCUGAGAGUGUCUCACGCCAGGUCCGUGUGCCUCCGCAUACAAAACAACAUAGCACAAGCUACUCCCUCGUUAGACUCCCGGUAUAAGUAAGCCUUACCAUAUAAUUUUAUUAAAUGAUCUAAUAUUUCAAAUCAUAUAUUAUCAUAAUUCUUUGUCAAAAUGUUUUGCAAAUUAAAAUGAUGGUUCAUAGCCUACUGGAAAAUGUAAUGUCUAUACACAGAUCAAACCAACCAUAAAAGUUUACAUAUAUCAUACAUUUCUUCCAAAUAAUAAUAAAUUACACAUUACAAUAAAGUGUCAAAUUACAGCAUAUUGAACUAAACCUGAUUACAAAAAGAAUAUUGGUUGGAUUAUGUGAAAUGAGAGUACAUGAUAUGUUUUAAAAUACUCUUUAUAUUUUUGCCUUAUUUCUAAUUUUUUUUCUUUUCAGUUUUAAAUAUAAAGUCAUUCUAUACAUAAUUGUAAACUUGUAUAUUAUAUAAUGCAAAAUAAAUGUAGAAUCCAAAA